UUGUCGGUCAAUUGUUGGGAUGCACCUC
RNAcentral lists this non-coding RNA (28 nucleotides) under Bombyx mori (domestic silkworm). Lineage: Eukaryota; Metazoa; Arthropoda; Insecta; Lepidoptera; Bombycidae. The record is from RNAcentral.